GACUCACGAGAGAUUGGAGAGGUAGAUUCACACAGUGAUAGUGCAAGCAGCUUGCUUCUAAUUAAAUAUGCGACUGAGUCUCAAUGCAUUUGCUUUCAGCCGCAGAGAGAAGAAGCUGCCCAAGAAUGGAAAGGAAGAAAUAUAUCACAUCAUCUGUCUGUCCACAGGCUUUCCUUGGGGCUUAUGAAGUGAAUGAAGGAGGGAAGAAAGGAGAGACAGAGAAAAUAUGGAUUUCCUCAUGGUUGUGAUUCCUCUUCACUCUUUUGAAUUUGGAAGGAUGGCAUACACAUCUGAAAAAUAGUAAGUAAUGUGUGAUUUAUUUUUCAAUUACUGUUACUAAUUGUAAUAAAGCUGAAAUUUGAUUACUGGAGGAGUUUGAAAUCAUCAUGCAUGCCUUGAAGGAAAAUGGGUUUUGUGAAACAUUUGCAUUAUUUGGUGUGAAUUACCUUUGGUGUGAUUUAACUGUUUAUCACACAAUUACUGUUGUGAUAAUGAAUGUGUUAUUCACUAUUGCUAAAUUUACCCAGUAUAUUCUGUAAUAACUAAGUAUUUGUGCCAUAUAAUAUAUGCAUUCUUAGUGCAACAGUUUAAGAAACAAUGCAAAAAUUGCAGGGAACUGUCUUUGGAGAUGCUAAGUUUUCUUGUUUUAUAUACCACACAAUCUUCCUCACACAUUUAUAGUUUUAAUUCAUAGUAAUAAUGUUUUCUAGAGACCUUUCUAUUUAUGCCUGAAAUGAAAUUCUCAUAUAAAUUAUGUGAGCUUAUUUCUUCAAAAUGAAUAUCCAGAGAGAGGCAAGAAUUAUUCUGACAUUAUUAAACUGCAUUUUUAAUGCAGUUUAAGUGACAUUUCUUAUAAUUUAAUCAAGCAUUAUAAUUAAAAUAACAAAGCUUUGAUUAGAGACUUUUUUUUUCAUUUGGGAAAGUGAAAAGUUCAUUUUUACCUUCCUAAAAAUAAGACAGACAUAUGCUAUCUGAAGACAUGAUACCUUGGAUUAGAGUACAUGCCACAAGUAUUUUUUAAAACAUAGAUGCAGCAUUGGCAUUUCUGAGUAACUACAGUGCAUAUUUUAAAUAUAUAAAUGCCUUAGAAUGAAGCAAUAUGGGGCAGAAUUAGUUCUGAAAUCUCUGAGGUAGCUUGAACAGUAUUUGCAUUAGGGCUGGCACUGCUAAAGCAAGCAGAUCCUGGGAAUUUCAUGUAGGCAAACAUGAGAUCCUUGUUUCUGGAGACAAGAAAAAAAAA
Molecule: long non-coding RNA, 1240 nt
Organism: Homo sapiens (human)
Lineage: Eukaryota; Metazoa; Chordata; Mammalia; Primates; Hominidae
Gene: SOX2-OT
Product: SOX2 overlapping transcript
Source: Ensembl